AAAAUGACUCUCGGCAACGGAUAUCUUAGCUCUCGCAUCGAUAAAGAACGUAGCGAAAUGCGACACUUGGUGUGAAUUGCAGAAUCCCGUGAACUAUCGAGUCUUUGAACACAAGUUGCGCCCGAAGCCAUUACGCGGAGGGCACGUCUGCCUGGGCAUCACGC
Molecule: ribosomal RNA, 164 nt
Filed under: Lycium dasystemum
Lineage: Eukaryota; Viridiplantae; Streptophyta; Magnoliopsida; Solanales; Solanaceae
Description: 5.8S ribosomal RNA
Rfam family: 5.8S ribosomal RNA
About the family: 5.8S ribosomal RNA (5.8S rRNA) is a component of the large subunit of the eukaryotic ribosome. It is transcribed by RNA polymerase I as part of the 45S precursor that also contains 18S and 28S rRNA.
Source: RNAcentral